RNAcentral lists this ribosomal RNA (402 nucleotides) under bacterium. RNAcentral describes it as "partial 16S ribosomal RNA". It matches the Rfam family "Bacterial small subunit ribosomal RNA", at positions 355 to 776 of the family's 1533-position model. The record is from RNAcentral.
UGGGGAAUUUUGCACAAUGGGGGAAACCCUGAUGCAGCGACGCCGCGUGAUUUAGAAGGCCUUCGGGUUGUAAAAAUCUUUUUUACGGGAUGAAAAUGACAGUACCGUAAGAAUAAGGUCCGGCUAAAUACGUGCCAGCAGCCGCGGUAAUACGUAUGGACCGAGCGUUGUCCGGAAUCAUUGGGCGUAAAGGGUACGUAGGCGGCCUAGUAAGUUAGAAGUGAAAUAAUAUAGCUCAACUAUAUAAAGCUUUUAAAACUGCUAGGCUUGAGAGAUGGAAGGGAAAGUGGAAUUCCUAGUGUAGCGGUGAAAUGCGCAGAUAUUAGGCAGAAUACCGGUGGCGAAGGCGACUUUCUGGUCAUCAUCUGACGCUGAGGUACGAAAGCGUGGGUAGCAAACAGG